RNAcentral lists this transfer RNA (72 nucleotides) under Datnioides campbelli. RNAcentral's name for it is "tRNA-Pro". It matches the Rfam family "tRNA". From Rfam's summary of the family: Transfer RNA (tRNA) molecules are approximately 80 nucleotides in length. Their secondary structure includes four short double-helical elements and three loops (D, anti-codon, and T loops). Further hydrogen bonds mediate the characteristic L-shaped molecular structure. tRNAs have two regions of fundamental functional importance: the anti-codon, which is responsible for specific mRNA codon recognition, and the 3' end, to which the tRNAs corresponding amino acid is attached (by aminoacyl-tRNA synthetases). tRNAs cope with the degeneracy of the genetic code in two manners: having more than one tRNA (with a specific anti-codon) for a particular amino acid; and 'wobble' base-pairing, i.e. permitting non-standard base-pairing at the 3rd anti-codon position. The record is from RNAcentral. Lineage: Eukaryota; Metazoa; Chordata; Actinopteri; Lobotiformes; Datnioididae.
CAGAGAGUAGUUCAAAUUCAAGAAUUCUAGCUUUGGGAGUUAGCGGUAUGGGUUAAAAUCCCUUUUCUUUGA